UUGCCCUAGUAACGGCGAGUGAAGCGGCAACAGCUCAAAUUUGAAAUCUGGCUCUCGGGCCCGAGUUGUAAUUUGUAGAGGAUACUUUUGAUGCGGUGCCUUCCGAGUUCCCUGGAACGGGACGCCAUAGAGGGUGAGAGCCCCGUCUGGUUGGAUGCCAAAUCUCUGUAAAGUUCCUUCGACGAGUCGAGUAGUUUGGGAAUGCUGCUCUAAAUGGGAGGUAUAUGUCUUCUAAAGCUAAAUACCGGCCAGAGACCGAUAGCGCACAAGUAGAGUGAUCGAAAGAUGAAAAGCACUUUGAAAAGAGAGUUAAAAAGUACGUGAAAUUGUUGAAAGGGAAGCGUUUAUGACCAGACUUGGGCUUGGUUAAUCAUCUGGGGUUCUCCCCAGUGCACUUUUCCAGUCCAGGCCAGCAUCAGUUUUCCCCGGGGGAUAAAGACUUCGGGAAUGUGGCUCUCUUCGGGGAGUGUUAUAGCCCGUUGUGUAAUACCCUGGGGGGGACUGAGGUUCGCGCAUCUGCAAGGAUGCUGGCGUAAUGGUCAUCAACGACCCGUCUUGAAACACGGACCAAGGAGUCGUCUUCGUAUGCGAGUGUUCGGGUGUCAAACCCCUACGCGUAAUGAAAGUGAACGCAGGUGAGAGCUUCGGCGCAUCAUCGACCGAUCCUGAUGUUCUCGGAUGGAUUUGAGUAAGAGCAUACGGGGCCGGACCCGAAAGAAGGUGAACUAUGCCUGUAUAGGGUGAAGCCAGAGGAAACUCUGGUGGAGGCUCGCAGCGGUUCUGACGUGCAAAUCGAUCGUCAAAUAUGGGCAUGGGGGCGAAAGACUAAUCGAACCUUCUAGUAGCUGGUUUCCGCCGAAGUUUCCCUCAGGAUAGCAGUGUUGAACUCAGUUUUAUGAGGUAAAGCGAAUGAUUAGGGACUCGGGGGCGCUAUUUAGCCUUCAUCCAUUCUCAAACUUUAAAUAUGUAAGAAGCUCUUGUUGCUUAA
Molecule: ribosomal RNA, 988 nt
Filed under: Fusarium oxysporum f. sp. ciceris
Lineage: Eukaryota; Fungi; Ascomycota; Sordariomycetes; Hypocreales; Nectriaceae
Description: partial large subunit ribosomal RNA
Rfam family: Eukaryotic large subunit ribosomal RNA
Source: RNAcentral